CGGGGGGGGCAAGCGUUGUUCGGAAUUACUGGGCGUAAAGGGUCUGUAGGUGGCUUGCUAAGUCAGACGUGAAAUCCCUCAGCUUAACUGGGGAACUGCGUCUGAGACUGGCGAGCUUGAGGGCAGGAGAGGAACGCGGAAUUCCAGGUGUAGCGGUGAAAUGCGUAGAUAUCUGGAGGAACACCGGUGGCGAAGGCGGCGUUCUGGACUGCAUCUGACACUGAAAGACGAAAGCCAGGGGAGCAAACGGGAUUAGAUACCCCGGUAGUCCUGGCCCUAAACGAUGAAUGCUUGGUGUGGCGGGUAUCGAUCCCUGCCGUGCCGUAGUUAACGCGAUAAGCAUUCCGCCUGGGGAUACGGUCGCAAGGCUG
Molecule: ribosomal RNA, 371 nt
Filed under: uncultured organism
Description: bacterial SSU rRNA
Rfam family: Bacterial small subunit ribosomal RNA
Source: RNAcentral